Molecule: ribosomal RNA, 312 nt
Filed under: uncultured bacterium
Lineage: Bacteria
Description: bacterial SSU rRNA
Rfam family: Bacterial small subunit ribosomal RNA
Source: RNAcentral
GUGUCAGCCGCCGCGGUAAUACGGAGGGUGCGAGCGUUGUCCGGAAUCACUGGGCGUAAAGGGCGCGUAGGCGGCCGAGCAAGGUCGCGGUGAAAGCCCGGGGCUCAACCCCGGGUCGGCCGUGGCAACUACUCGGCUCGAGCACUGUAGGGGCGGGUGGAAUUCCGGGUGUAGCGGUGGAAUGCGUAGAGAUCCGGAAGAACACCGGUGGCGAAGGCGGCCCGCUGGGCAGGAAGACCCCUUUACGGGGGUCGGCUGACGCUGAGGCGCGACAGCGUGGGGAGCAAACAGGAUUAGAAACCCGCGUAGUCC